Long non-coding RNA from Symphalangus syndactylus (siamang), 514 nucleotides. RefSeq lists it as uncharacterized. The record is from RefSeq and is a predicted model, not a curated record. NCBI's taxonomy places the organism in Eukaryota, Metazoa, Chordata, Mammalia, Primates, Hylobatidae.
CUCGAGGUCGUGGACGUGAUCUUGCAGGCCUGAGGCUCCCAGUGUCUGACACGGGGUGCUCCCGAUGAAGAGAUGGCUGGCCUGGUUGCAUGAAGGUUGUCUUGAUGGGAUUCUUGUUCUGGGCAUAGAGCUGGACUCUUGGACAACCAAAAUAUCACUUCUGGAGCUCCUGAGGUUCCAUAGUGCCCCCCGCUGAGGAAAUAAAUAAGAAGACAACGUAGGGUAACUUUCUAGCGAGAAUUAGCCCAAAAGCCAGCAGUGGAAGCUUGCUCACUAAGACCUACAAUACCGAACAGGCCAUGCAUCAAUCGGGUGAGACACCAACUCCCAGUCGACUGCAGGAGGAGAGAGGCCGCUUGGAGAGGCAGUGGGAAGCCGACGACGCCAGCUGAAAAGCCGUGGCUGCUUUUAUCUGAGACAAGGAACAGUGAGAUUCUCCCUUGGAGCCUCCAGAAGGAACCUGCCCUGUGGACACCUUGAUUUUAGCCCUGUAGGUUCAUUUCAGACUCCGGAC